Glycine soja is the source of this 367-nucleotide long non-coding RNA. RefSeq lists it as uncharacterized. The transcript is spliced from 3 exons. NCBI's taxonomy places the organism in Eukaryota, Viridiplantae, Streptophyta, Magnoliopsida, Fabales, Fabaceae. The record is from RefSeq and is a predicted model, not a curated record.
GUUAUGGAGCUUGAUCAAGAACCAUCAUGGCAUUUGGUUCAAAUGAGAUACACCAUACCUCUCUCAACUUCCUAUGAGGCUUUUCAAGAAAGAAAACAAGAAAUUGCAACCACUACUAGAGUCAAGGCAAGGAGGAUGCAAACUCCAAACUUAAAAACCGAAGGAAGAUUCAACUCUCAUGAAGUCUAUCACUAUAAAUUUGAAUUUAAAAAUUAUAUAUUCUUGUCCUUACUCUAGAGUUUGAUUUGUUCCACAAACUUUUACUCCAGGAAUGAGUCGGAUUUGGUCACUAACCCACCUAGUAAAAUGGAGGAUAGAGAAAAUUCUUUAUGUUUUAUGUUUCAAUUAAUUUUAAAACUAAAUAAAA